CAUUCGGAAGGGAAGGUACCUGUGCACUUCACCAGACCUGUAGACUGUACCAGUACGUUGCAGAGUGAGCCUUCCCUCCACCGGUCGCUCCUAGCCCGGACUAGGCGGCCUCCCAGUCUCCACCGGGCCGGGGCUGCCCACCCCCAAGUCCCCAACUGCAUCCGCGCCGCCGCCAUCCGUCGCAGUCGCAGUCGCACUGCUGGCUGCCCGCCGUACCGUACCAACAAGCUUCUUCUACUUCUCUUCCUCGCCCAGUCUCCCCUCCUUCCCUACCAUCCCCGCAUUUCGAAAGGAGCUAGCUAAGCUAGCGCACCGGCCUGCUUCCCUUCCCUCCCGCCGUCCGCGCUUCUUCCAUUUCCCUUCGCAACGGCCUCUCGGUCACACCCGAGCCCGUAGCUGCGCCGUACUCCGUCCGUCCGUCCGUGCCACACCGCCACCCACCAGGCCAGAGCCAACCGGGAGUGGCCACGCAGAGUGGUUUUGGCGGCUUGCUGGCUAGCUCUGCCUCUGCCCGCCACCUCGGACCAGCCAGUGUCCAUGCCGCGGAUGGCCAAGCUGCUGCUCCAGCUGAAGGCGGCGGCGGACAGGAGGCACGGCCCCGGCCCCGGCCGGCGCCACCCGCUCGCGCCCCGCCACGCGGCCGCGUCCGCCACCAGAUUCGUGCCCGCCUGCCUCGCCCUCGCCGCCGCCGCCACCACGCUCGUCGCGCUGGCGCUCACGCUGCAGAAUCGCGGCCUCGGCCCCGCCGACCCCUCUCCCUCCUCCGUCUCGCCACGCGGCGGCGGCUUCGCGGUGGUUGUCAACACGUGGAGGCGGCCCGCGCUGCUGCGGAGGUCCGUGGCGCACUACGCGGCCUGCGGGGGCGUGGACGCCGUCCACGUGGUGUGGAGCGAGCCGCGGCCGCCGCCGGAACCCCUGCGCCGGGGCGUCCUCGGGCUCGGCGGCGCCCGGCGGCGCGUGCGGUUCGAGAUCAACGCGGGCGACAGCCUCAACAACAGGUUCAGGCCCAUCCGGGCGCUCGAGUCGGACGCCGUCUUCUCCGUCGACGACGACCUCAUCGUCCCCUGCUCCGCGCUGCGCUUCGCCUUCUCCGUCUGGCGGACCGCGCCCUCCGCCAUGGUCGGCUUCGUGCCGCGGAUGCACUGGCCUACCGACCCGAGAAGCACUGAAGAUGCAUACCGAUACGGAAGCUGGUGGUCAGUUUGGUGGACAGGGACAUACAGCAUGGUUCUUUCCAAAGCGGGGUUCUUCCACAAGAAGUACCUGGAAAUGUACACCAACCAGAUGCCACCGUCCAUUCGCAGAUAUGUGGAUGAGAACAGGAACUGUGAGGACAUCGCCAUGGCUUUUCUUGUUGCAAAUGCUACUGGAGCCCCGCCUAUAUGGGUGCAAGGAAGGAUAUUUGAGAUUGGAUCGAGCGGCAUCAGCAGCCUGAAAGGCCAUGGCUUGCAGAGAUCAAGGUGCCUCAACGCGUUCGCCGCCAUGUACGGCCACAUGCCGCUCGUAGCCACCACAGUCAAGGCCGUGGACAGCCGCGGGAGCUGGUUCUGGUGAUAAAGAUAUGUGCCUCUUUUUUCUGUACAUCCUAGCCUUGCCUCUAGUCUACAUUGUUUAUAUAGCAGAGUUUGAAACCAGAGAUAAGAAUGAGUAGGCUAGUGUGUCUGUGCAUAAUUCAUCCGCACCUUAGAACACAGGCUAUAUAGAUUUUACAGAUGGAACUGAGACGCAGUGAUUAUAUCCAUAUUGCUGUUGGAGCCUUAGUCCAACAUCAGGAUCAGCUAAGGCCCUGUUUGGUUCCUUUAGUUAGUAGGUAACUAUGUGCAAGGAGAUUGUUUAUGUAUGUGAGACAGUAAUUAUUAAUUCAAUGAAUGAAAUUUAUGGUGGUGGUCUGUCUCUCUCCUCUAUUUUGUGUGGAGGAUCGACUAUUUUGUGUGCGCCUGGCUGCCUGCCAAGAUCCUGAUGCUGUCCAGUUCAGUGAUCAGUGGGCUAACUUUUAUGUGGCUGUGACGGCCGAAACAGGAUAGUGAGGAUAAGGGGGGCACUCUUUCGUUGGGCCAGCGCUGCAUGCUUCCUUGCUUGCUUUUUUGUCGCGCCUGCUUCUCCCCCCUCUGCCUCUUGGUGCUGCUUCCUGGUGGGGGAAGGGAAGGAGAAGGCUGUGUGCGUCCUGCGCCGAUAACGCGAUGGUGUCCAUUGUCACUGAGGUAUGGGCGCUCGCUGGAUGCGGCCCGGCGUCCAAGGCGGCGGCGGUAGCGGUAGCGGCGCAGGAGUUGCCGGCGCAGCAUCCUUCUCCUGCCGCAGCGGGAGGAGGGAAGGCCAAGAAGAGAGCCGUGCCAGUGUCGUUCAGAGGCGUCAGCAGCGGCGGUGGUCAGGACCACCAGCGUGAGGCCGCCGCCGUCGUCGUCGGGCGGCGGCGCGGCCUCGCGUCGUGCGCGCUCGCCGCCGUCGCCGCCUCGUUCUCCGCCCGCGCUGACCGCCCCGCGCGGGCGCUUGUCCUCGAGGAAGACGACGACAUCGAGCUGCUGGAGCGCGUGAAGGAGGACAGGAAGAAGCGGCUGCAGAAGCAGGGCAUCAUCAGCUCCUCCGGCGCCGAGACCGGGUAUUUGCAGGACCUCAUCUACAGGCUCAGCAAAGUCGGGCAGGCCAUUGACAACGACGACCUCCCAGCCGCGAGCAGCGUGCUGGGACCAAGCUCAGACGCCCAGUGGGUGCAGAACAUCAAUGCAGCUUUCUCCAAGCUCAGCUCAAGCCCGGAGCAGAGGAACGUGGUCGACAGCUUCAACAGCUCGCUGGCCACACUGUUUACAUCAGUGAGCAAGCUCGACCCUGAAUCCUCCAAGUCGGCGUUCGUGUCGUCCGCGACGGCGUUGGAGAAAUGGAUCGCGUUAGCUGGACUGGGCGGCCAGCUCAAGGGCUACUGAUGCGUGCGAGGGGAAGAGAAGCACUGGGUUGUUCUAUGUUUGGGUCCGGCAUUUGUGAAUCUCCUGAAGAGGGUACCGUGACCGAGAACUGAGUUCAGAUAGGCAUGCUAUGCUCAUCAAGAAACUGUGACUGUUUUUGAGACUCUGCUGUUACUUACAAGUGGUAGGAAACGAAGUUGUCUUGUAUCUUGUUGUCCAGUUUAACUUUCGAAAUUCCAAAGCAGCUGGCGUUUAUUUUUUUUAAA
This is an RNA transcript of Zea mays, 3163 nucleotides long. RefSeq lists it as uncharacterized. The transcript has 8 exons. Lineage: Eukaryota; Viridiplantae; Streptophyta; Magnoliopsida; Poales; Poaceae. The record is from RefSeq and is marked validated.